GUGCAGCAGUCGAGAAUCCUCCGCAAUGCUCGAAAGAGCGACGGGGGACUCCAAGUGCCUACGCUUUGCGUAGGCUUUUCCCAAGCCUAAAAAGCUUGGGGAAUAAGGGCUGGGUAAGACGGGUGCCAGCCGCCGCGGUAAUACCCGCAGCCCGAGUGGUGGCCGCUUUUAUUGGGCCUAAAGCGUCCGUAGCCGGUCUGGUAAAUGCCUGGGUAAAUCGUCUGGCUCAACCAGACGAAUUCCGGGUAGACUGCCAGACUAGGGACCGGAGGAAGGAGAGGGUACUCCGGGGGUAGGGGUGAAAUCCUGUAAUCCUCGGAGGACCACCGGUGGCGAAGGCGCUCUCCUAGGACGGGUCCGACGGUGAGGGACGAAAGCCAGGGGAGCAAACCGGAUUAGAUACCCCCGUAGU
This 412-nucleotide ribosomal RNA is filed under the name uncultured microorganism. Its description in RNAcentral is "bacterial SSU rRNA". It matches the Rfam family "Archaeal small subunit ribosomal RNA", at positions 330 to 745 of the family's 1478-position model. The record is from RNAcentral.